UCGGGUAUGGUGUAACGGCUAACAUUGCCGCCUUUCAUAUUCCAAGUGAGUUACUUGGAUCGCGGCAGCUCGGGGUUCGAUUCCCCGUACCCGAA
Non-coding RNA from Termitomyces sp. T159_Od127, 95 nucleotides. The record is from the annotation of a GenBank genome assembly. Lineage: Eukaryota; Fungi; Basidiomycota; Agaricomycetes; Agaricales; Lyophyllaceae.